This 496-nucleotide ribosomal RNA is filed under the name uncultured bacterium. RNAcentral's name for it is "partial 16S ribosomal RNA". It matches the Rfam family "Bacterial small subunit ribosomal RNA", at positions 29 to 507 of the family's 1533-position model. The record is from RNAcentral.
AUGAACGCUGGCGGCGUGCCUAAUACAUGCCAGUCGAGCGAACGGACGAGAAGCUUGCUUCUCUGAUGUUAGCGGCGGACGGGUGAGUAACACGUGGAUAACCUACCUAUAAGACUGGGAUAACUUCGGGAAACCGGAGCUAAUACCGGAUAAUAUUUUGAACCGCAUGGUUCAAAAGUGAAAGACGGUCUUGCUGUCACUUAUAGAUGGAUCCGCGCUGCAUUAGCUAGUUGGUAAGGUAACGGCUUACCAAGGCAACGAUGCAUAGCCGACCUGAGAGGGUGAUCGGCCACACUGGAACUGAGACACGGUCCAGACUCCUACGGGAGGCAGCAGUAGGGAAUCUUCCGCAUUGGGCGAAAGCCUGACGGAGCAACGCCGCGUGAGUGAUGAAGGUCUUCGGAUCGUAAAACUCUGUUAUUAGGGAAGAACAUAUGUGUAAGUAACUGUGCACAUCUUGACGGUACCUAAUCAGAAAGCCACGGCUAACUACGUG